Molecule: long non-coding RNA, 1098 nt
Organism: Ostrea edulis (European flat oyster)
Lineage: Eukaryota; Metazoa; Mollusca; Bivalvia; Ostreida; Ostreidae
Exons: 2
Source: RefSeq, a predicted model, not a curated record
UCAACUGACCUUCACCUUGUCACAACAUAUAUCGACGAUACAAUGUAACUUCUACCAACUGGUAGAUUUACAACAACAAAAAAUAAAGAUACAAAAUAAUUGAACUUUUAAUUAUACAAAUAAUAGAAUAUUGUAUUUCCUAACUUUAAAGGUCAACUGAAACGAUUUUCAAAGUUCGUUUUUCAAAUAAAUUCCGUAAGAAAAUACCAUUCCUUAAAUGUUUUCACAUAAGAAUAAUUUUUGUUUCGAUCAUCCAGGUAGAUACGACAUCGUUAAUUUCAACCCGGUAAAUUUUAUUGUAUGAGUUAUCUGCCCUUUAGGCGAACCUGAUAUUUCAAUAUGGCGGCACGAUAUGAAAAUCAUUCGGAAGAUUGUAUUCCUGAAAUAGAUAUAUCGCUUAGUGUUAAUGUGCAGCCCUGCCAAUAUGAACCAGUUGUACAGCGAGACGCAUCCCCACUAGUGGAAAACGAUAGUUAUUCAGAAAACAGCGAGGAUCAAUCGGACGAAUGCCCUUCACCUGUUCACCAUCUGAUAUGCGAGGUCGAUAUGCAAUGGUUUGUUAAUUUAGGCUAAUUAUUUAUAUGAGACUUUUAAUGAAAACGAAACGAUUACUCAAAGCUCAGAAGUGCAUCAGCAUGUAUUUCUAAGACUAGUUUUCUAUUAUUCUAACAGGUGAUCAUAUAGGCUAGUAAUGUCAUCGCAAUGCCCUCAAGAAGGGAGUCCAAAUGUUGCAGUGCAUAGGAUUGAAGAGGUGGGCGUGUCCUGCAUCACAGAUCACGAAGGUUUUGUUGUGGCAAACUGUCUCAACAGAUUGGUUAUAGGAACAGCUUAUUAUGAAUGCAUACAAAAUAUUGGUCCCUUGGAGGAGGGGGAAUUGAUUCACAAAUUUUACAGACAUCAUGCAUAUUGGAGAUCUGGUAGUAGCUUGGGAAAAACAAUUGGAAAGUUCUUCUAUCCUGCGUUGUGACUAUGAUAAGAAAUCAUUCCAUCACAACAGUACUGUGGAUUUAAAUACCCUUUGGUAUUAAUUUAAAUGUGUGAUAAAUUCUUAAUGCAUUUUUCAUAAGUGAUAUAAAUAAAUAUAAACAAGUAAACAUA